CUGCUUUCGGGCGGGACGAGACCGGCGUACGGGUGCGUAACGCGUAUGCAACCUACCUUCAGCAGGGGGAUAGCCCGUGGAAACAUGGAUUAAUACCCCAUAAAGCAGGGGUUCCGCAUGGGACUAUUUGCUAAAGCUACGGUGGCUGAAGAUGGGCAUGCGUCUGAUUAGUUAGUUGGUGAGGUAACGGCUCACCAAGGCGAUGAUCAGUAGGGGUUCUGAGAGGAUGAUCCCCCACACUGGUACUGAGACACGGACCAGACUCCUACGGGAGGCAGCAGUAGGGAAUAUUGGGCAAUGGGCGAGAGCCUGACCCAGCCAUGCCGCGUGCAGGAAGACGGCCUUCUGGGUUGUAAACUGCUUUUAUCAGGGAAGAAAGAGGUGCUGCGGCGCCAGUUGACUGUACCUGAUGAAUAAGCACCGGCUAACUCCGUGCCAGCAGCCGCGGUAAUACGGAGGGUGCAAGCGUUGUCCGGAUUUAUUGGGUUUAAAGGGUGCGUAGGCGGAUUAUUAAGUCAGUGGUGAAAGUCUGCGGCUCAACCGCAGGAGUGCCAUUGAUACUGGUAGUCUUGAGUACAGUAGAGGUAGGCGGAAUUUAUGGUGUAGCGGUGAAAUGCAUAGAUACCAUAAAGAACACCGAUAGCGUAGGCAGCUUACUAUGCUGUAACUGACGCUGAGGCACGAAAGCGUGGGGAUCGAACAGGAUUAGAUACCCUGGUA
This 720-nucleotide ribosomal RNA is filed under the name uncultured bacterium. Its description in RNAcentral is "bacterial SSU rRNA". It matches the Rfam family "Bacterial small subunit ribosomal RNA", at positions 74 to 792 of the family's 1533-position model. The record is from RNAcentral.